This 436-nucleotide ribosomal RNA is filed under the name uncultured bacterium. Its description in RNAcentral is "partial 16S ribosomal RNA". It matches the Rfam family "Bacterial small subunit ribosomal RNA", at positions 29 to 507 of the family's 1533-position model. The record is from RNAcentral.
AACGAACGCUGGCUGCAUGCCUAACACAUGCAAGUCGAACGAGAUCCUUCGGGGUCUUUUGGCGCACGGGUGCGGACCGCGUGGGAAUCUGCUCUCAGGUACCCAAUAUCCGUUAGACAUGACUGCUAAUACCCGAAGAUCACGCUAAUACCAAAGAUUUAGCGUCGGCGGAUGAGCCCGCGUAGGAUUAGCUAGUUGGUGUGGUAAAGGCGCGCCAAGGCGACGAUCCGUGGCUGGUCUGAGAGGAUGAACAGCCACACUGGGACUGAGACACGGAGCAGAGACGAACGGGAGGCAGCGGUGGGGAGUAUUAGACAGUGAGGGCGAGCGCAGUAUGGCAGUGCCGCGUGAGUGAUGCAGGUUUUAGGCGUGUAAAGCGCUGUUAACCGAGAGGCUAUUGCAGGUACCGGGUGAAUAAGCACCGGCUAACUCCGUG